AAUAACCGGAGGAAGUGGGGAUGACGUCAAAUCAUCAUGCCCCUUAUGACCUGGGCUACACACGUGCUACAAUGGUUGGUACAACGAGUUGCGAGUCGGUGACGGCGAGCUAAUCUCUUAAAGCCAAUCUCAGUUCGGAUUGUAGGCUGCAACUCGCCUACAUGAAGUCGGAAUCGCUAGUAAUCGCGGAUCAGCACGCCGCGGUGGAUACGUUCCCGGGCCUU
Molecule: ribosomal RNA, 224 nt
Filed under: uncultured Streptococcus sp.
Lineage: Bacteria; Bacillati; Bacillota; Bacilli; Lactobacillales; Streptococcaceae
Description: partial 16S ribosomal RNA
Rfam family: Bacterial small subunit ribosomal RNA
Source: RNAcentral